RNAcentral lists this ribosomal RNA (643 nucleotides) under uncultured bacterium. RNAcentral describes it as "bacterial SSU rRNA". It matches the Rfam family "Bacterial small subunit ribosomal RNA", at positions 63 to 683 of the family's 1533-position model. The record is from RNAcentral.
CGAACGGCAGCGCGGGGGCUUCGGUCUCUGGCGGCGAGUGGCGGACGGGUGAGUAAUAUAUGGGAACGCGCCCGGCGGCGGGGGAUAACUCUGGGAAACCAGAGCUAAUACCGCAUGCGUUUCGCCUUUCGGGGCGAAAGAAAGCGGGGGACUUCUUCGGAGGCCUCGCACCGGCGGAGCGGCCCAUAUCCGAUUAGCUUGUUGGCGGGGUAACAGCCCACCAAGGCCGCGAUCGGUAGCUGGUCUGAGAGGACGGACAGCCACACCGGGACUGAGACACGGCCCGGACUCCUACGGGAGGCAGCAGUGGGGAAUAUUGGACAAUGGGGGCAACCCUGAUCCAGCAAUGCCGCGUGUGUGAAGAAGGCCUUCGGGUUGUAAAGCACUUUCGCGGGGGAAGAAAAAGCGAGGGGUAAUAUCUCUCGCGCCUGACGGUACCCCGAGAAGAAGCACCGGCUAACUACGUGCCAGCAGCCGCGGUAAUACGUAGGGUGCGAGCGUUAAUCGGAAUUACUGGGCGUAAAGCGUGCGCAGGCGGCCUGUCAAGUCGGGUGUGAAAUCCCCGGGCUCAACCCGGGAAUUGCGCUUGAAACCGGCGGGCUAGAGUACGGCAGAGGAAGGUGGAAUUCCGUGUGUAGCGGUG